This 468-nucleotide ribosomal RNA is filed under the name uncultured bacterium. RNAcentral describes it as "partial 16S ribosomal RNA". It matches the Rfam family "Bacterial small subunit ribosomal RNA", at positions 28 to 507 of the family's 1533-position model. The record is from RNAcentral.
GACGAACGCUGGCGGCGUGCUUAACACAUGCAAGUCGAACGGAAAGGCCCUGCUUUUGUGGGGUGCUCGAGUGGCGAACGGGUGAGUAACACGUGAGUAACCUGCCCUUGACUUUGGGAUAACUUCAGGAAACUGGGGCUAAUACCGGAUAUGAGCUCCUGCUGCAUGGUGGGGGUUGGAAAGUUUCGGCGGUUGGGGAUGGACUCGCGGCUUAUCAGCUUGUUGGUGGGGUAGUGGCUUACCAAGGCUUUGACGGAUAGCCGGCCUGAGAGGGUGGCCGGCGACAUUGGGACUGAGAUACGGCGCAGACUGCUACGGGAGGCAGCAGUGGGGAAUAUGGCACAAUGGGCGGAAGCCUGAUGCAGCAACGCCGCGUGCGGGAUGACGGCCUUCGGGUUGUAAACCGCUUUCGCCUGUGACGAAGAGUGAGUGACGGUAAUGGGUAAAGAAGCACCGGCUAACUACGUG